RNAcentral lists this transfer RNA (77 nucleotides) under Vulcanimicrobiaceae bacterium. RNAcentral's name for it is "tRNA-Arg". It matches the Rfam family "tRNA". From Rfam's summary of the family: Transfer RNA (tRNA) molecules are approximately 80 nucleotides in length. Lineage: Bacteria; Bacillati; Vulcanimicrobiota; Vulcanimicrobiia; Vulcanimicrobiales; Vulcanimicrobiaceae. RNAcentral also lists the same sequence under 2 other names. The record is from RNAcentral.
GCGCCCGUAGCUCAAUUGGAUAGAGCAGGGGACUCCUAAGCCCAAGGUUGGUGGUUCAAUUCCGCCCGGGCGCACCA